AUUGAACGCUGGCGGAAUGCUUUACACAUGCAAGUCGAACGGUAGAGGGGGCAACCCCCUUGAGAGUGGCGAACGGGUGAGUAAUAUAUCGGAACGUGCCCAGUCGUGGGGGAUAACGUAGCGAAAGUUACGCUAAUACCGCAUACGAUCUACGGAUGAAAGCAGGGGACCGCAAGGCCUUGCGCUCAUGGAGCGGCCGAUGGCAGAUUAGGUAGUUGGUGGGGUAAAGGCUCACCAAGCCAACGAUCUGUAGCUGGUCUGAGAGGACGACCAGCCACACUGGGACUGAGACACGGCCCAGACUCCUACGGGAGGCAGCAGUGGGGAAUAUUGGGCAAUGGGCGCAAGCCUGACCCAGCCAUGCCGCGUGCAGGAAGAAGGCGUUAUGCGUUGUAAACUGCUUUUAUACAGGAAGAAACGACCCUUAGCGAGGGGCAUUGACGGUACUGUAUGAAUAAGCACCGGCUAACUCCGUG
Molecule: ribosomal RNA, 476 nt
Filed under: uncultured bacterium
Lineage: Bacteria
Description: bacterial SSU rRNA
Rfam family: Bacterial small subunit ribosomal RNA
Source: RNAcentral